RNAcentral lists this non-coding RNA (201 nucleotides) under Butyricimonas synergistica. The record is from RNAcentral. Lineage: Bacteria; Pseudomonadati; Bacteroidota; Bacteroidia; Bacteroidales; Odoribacteraceae.
ACUUUCGCACCAAGUUUUGGUGCGGAACCUUCGGUCAUGGAGGUAACGCUUAAUAGGGAACCCGGUGUGAAUCCGGGACUGUACCCGCAGCUGUAAGUUCCUUUACAAGGGAUUUUGUACUUCAAAUGUCACUGGUUAUAAACUGGGAAGGCAACAAAAUCCGGAACAAGUCAGAAGACCUGCCGAACAAGAUAAACCAUA